UAUGCCUUUUUAAAAAAUCAUUUCAAUUUUGGUUGGCUGAUGAAUUUACAAGUAUAGGUAGUAUGCUAUGACAGGGGCAAGUCUUACACUAACACCUCAAGGGUGUCUGGCUCAAUGACCAGAGUUUGAUAGUAACUUUUGUUACAAGU
This is a small nucleolar RNA of Vulpes vulpes (red fox), 149 nucleotides long. The record is from Ensembl. NCBI's taxonomy places the organism in Eukaryota, Metazoa, Chordata, Mammalia, Carnivora, Canidae.